RNAcentral lists this long non-coding RNA (429 nucleotides) under Gossypium barbadense (sea-island cotton). RNAcentral describes it as "long non-coding RNA (GBAR_LNC019047)". The record is from RNAcentral. Lineage: Eukaryota; Viridiplantae; Streptophyta; Magnoliopsida; Malvales; Malvaceae.
CGGCUUGAAAGGACUUUCAUCUUUUCUCCACCACCGCAGUCACUCCCCUUGAGAGUCUUCUUGCCCCCAACUCCUUCACAGGUUUCAGAGAAGAUAGAGGUUAAUGAUACUACAUUUGGUGGAAAUGGAAAAACAGAUUAAGGUGAUUAUAUUGGAAAGCCUUUGAGUUUUUCCCUAUGAUUAUGAUGUCAAACUUUUGUAUCGGGUUUACAAACCAUAUUCUUCUAGUAAGGUGGAACAUGAACCUGUGAUCACAUAACCACCGUUAAUUGGGCUAUCGAGUUAUACUCCAAGCCGUGACCGCACAUUAAUAUCUAUCAAGUAUGAGCCGAUGUUAUACUUUAACCCGUGACCGUAUAAGCACAGUGAAGUCCAAGCUUGAGUUGUAAUGUGAUGGGCUUCUAAGGCAAUGGUUCCAUUCCGACACGA